Molecule: long non-coding RNA, 287 nt
Organism: Apodemus sylvaticus (European woodmouse)
Lineage: Eukaryota; Metazoa; Chordata; Mammalia; Rodentia; Muridae
Exons: 3
Source: RefSeq, a predicted model, not a curated record
GGUCACUUAACAUGAUCAAUGCCAGAGGCCUGAGGUCCAUAUCAAAUUGACAGAGUUGCAGCUCCCGAUAUUAGCAUCUCCUGAUGAAACCAGACCUCACCAGUUCCAGAUGCUCUAGCUAGUCAACUUGUUCCAAGGAUCCCUGUCUCUGCCUCCCAAGUAGUGGGACUUCUGGCAGGCUACCACAUCUGCACAGGUGUUGUGUGGGUCUGGGCACCUACAUUCCUGUUCUUAUACAGGUGAAGUACCUCAGUGUCUGUCUCAGAUCUACACACAAUAGAUCAGGU